AUACGGAGGAUCCGAGCGUUAUCCGGAUUUAUUGGGUUUAAAGGGAGCGUAGGUGGAUUGUUAAGUCAGUUGUGAAAGUUUGCGGCUCAACCGUAAAAUUGCAGUUGAAACUGGCAGUCUUGAGUACAGUAGAGGUGGGCGGAAUUCGUGGUGUAGCGGUGAAAUGCUUAGAUAUCACGAAGAACUCCGAUUGCGAAGGCAGCUCACUAGACUGUUACUGACACUGAUGCUCGAAAGUGUGGGUAUCAAACAGGAUUAGAUACCCUGGUAGUCCACACAGUAAACGAUGAAUACUCGCUGUUUGCGAUAUACAGUAAGCGGCCAAGCGAAAGCAUUAAGUAUUCCACCUGGGGAGUACGCCGGCAACGGUAAAACUCAAAGGAAUUGACGGGG
RNAcentral lists this ribosomal RNA (393 nucleotides) under uncultured bacterium. Its description in RNAcentral is "partial 16S ribosomal RNA". It matches the Rfam family "Bacterial small subunit ribosomal RNA", at positions 523 to 918 of the family's 1533-position model. The record is from RNAcentral.